RNAcentral lists this ribosomal RNA (412 nucleotides) under Arsenophonus endosymbiont of Bemisia tabaci. Its description in RNAcentral is "bacterial SSU rRNA". It matches the Rfam family "Bacterial small subunit ribosomal RNA", at positions 505 to 916 of the family's 1533-position model. The record is from RNAcentral. Lineage: Bacteria; Pseudomonadati; Pseudomonadota; Gammaproteobacteria; Enterobacterales; Morganellaceae.
GUGCCAGCCGCCGCGGUAAUACGGAGGGUGCGAGCGUUAAUCGGAAUUACUGGGCGUAAAGGGCACGCAGGCGGUUAAUUAAGUUGGAUGUGAAAUCCCCGGGCUUAACCUGGGAAUGGCAUUCAAGACUGGUUAGCUAGAGUCUUGUAGAGGGGGGUAGAAUUCCAUGUGUAGCGGUGAAAUGCGUAGAGAUGUGGAGGAAUACCGGUGGCGAAGGCGGCCCCCUGGACAAAGACUGACGCUCAUGUGCGAAAGCGUGGGGAGCAAACAGGAUUAGAUACCCUGGUAGUCCACGCUGUAAACGAUGUCGAUUUGGAGGUUGUGGUCAAGAACUGUGGCCUCCGGAGCUAACGCGUUAAAUCGACCGCCUGGGGAGUACGGCCGCAAGGUUAAAACUCAAAGGAAUUGACGG